GAUGAACGCUAGCUACAGGCUUAACACAUGCAAGUCGCGGGGUAACAUCUGGGAGAGCUUGCUCUUCCAGGAUGACGACCGGCGCACGGGUGAGUAACGCGUAUCCAACCUGUCCCAUACCACGGGAUAGCCCGUCGAAAGGCGGAUUAAUACCGUAUGCUGUCAUUAAGAUGCAUAUAUUGAUGACGAAAGGACUGGCGGUAUGGGAUGGGGAUGCGUCUGAUUAGCUUGUUGGCGGGGUAACGGCCCACCAAGGCGACGAUCAGUAGGGGUUCUGAGAGGAAGGUCCCCCACAUUGGAACUGAGACACGGCCCAGACUCCUACGGGAGGCAGCAGUGGGGAAUAUUGCACAAUGGGGGAAACCCUGAUGCAGCGACGCCGCGUGAGCGAAGAAGUAUUUCGGUAUGUAAAGCUCUAUCAGCAGGGAAGAAAAUGACGGUACCUGACUAAGAAGCCCCGGCUAACUACGUGCCAGCAGCCGGGU
This 485-nucleotide ribosomal RNA is filed under the name uncultured bacterium. Its description in RNAcentral is "bacterial SSU rRNA". It matches the Rfam family "Bacterial small subunit ribosomal RNA", at positions 28 to 521 of the family's 1533-position model. The record is from RNAcentral.